RNAcentral lists this ribosomal RNA (1493 nucleotides) under uncultured organism. RNAcentral's name for it is "SSU rRNA". It matches the Rfam family "Bacterial small subunit ribosomal RNA". The record is from RNAcentral.
UGAACGCUGGCGGCGUGCCUAAUACAUGCAAGUCGAACGAGUUCUGAUUAUUGAAAGGUGCUUGCAUCUUGAUUUAAUUUUGAACGAGUGGCGGACGGGUGAGUAACACGUGGGUAACCUGCCCUUAAGUGGGGGAUAACAUUUGGAAACAGAUGCUAAUACCGCAUAAAUCCAAGAACCGCAUGGUUCUUGGCUGAAAGAUGGCGUAAGCUAUCGCUUUUGGAUGGACCCGCGGCGUAUUAGCUAGUUGGUGAGGUAACGGCUCACCAAGGCAAUGAUACGUAGCCGAACUGAGAGGUUGAUCGGCCACAUUGGGACUGAGACACGGCCCAAACUCCUACGGGAGGCAGCAGUAGGGAAUCUUCCACAAUGGACGCAAGUCUGAUGGAGCAACGCCGCGUGAGUGAAGAAGGCUUUCGGGUCGUAAAACUCUGUUGUUGGAGAAGAAUGGUCGGCAGAGUAACUGUUGUCGGCGUGACGGUAUCCAACCAGAAAGCCACGGCUAACUACGUGCCAGCAGCCGCGGUAAUACGUAGGUGGCAAGCGUUAUCCGGAUUUAUUGGGCGUAAAGCGAGCGCAGGCGGUUUUUUAAGUCUGAUGUGAAAGCCCUCGGCUUAACCGAGGAAGUGCAUCGGAAACUGGGAAACUUGAGUGCAGAAGAGGACAGUGGAACUCCAUGUGUAGCGGUGAAAUGCGUAGAUAUAUGGAAGAACACCAGUGGCGAAGGCGGCUGUCUGGUCUGUAACUGACGCUGAGGCUCGAAAGCAUGGGUAGCGAACAGGAUUAGAUACCCUGGUAGUCCAUGCCGUAAACGAUGAAUGCUAGGUGUUGGAGGGUUUCCGCCCUUCAGUGCCGCAGCUAACGCAUUAAGCAUUCCGCCUGGGGAGUACGACCGCAAGGUUGAAACUCAAAGGAAUUGACGGGGGCCCGCACAAGCGGUGGAGCAUGUGGUUUAAUUCGAAGCAACGCGAAGAACCUUACCAGGUCUUGACAUCUUUUGAUCACCUGAGAGAUCAGGUUUCCCCUUCGGGGGCAAAAUGACAGGUGGUGCAUGGUUGUCGUCAGCUCGUGUCGUGAGAUGUUGGGUUAAGUCCCGCAACGAGCGCAACCCUUAUGACUAGUUGCCAGCAUUUAGUUGGGCACUCUAGUAAGACUGCCGGUGACAAACCGGAGGAAGGUGGGGAUGACGUCAAAUCAUCAUGCCCCUUAUGACCUGGGCUACACACGUGCUACAAUGGACGGUACAACGAGUUGCGAGACCGCGAGGUCAAGCUAAUCUCUUAAAGCCAUUCUCAGUUCGGACUGUAGGCUGCAACUCGCCUACACGAAGUCGGAAUCGCUAGUAAUCGCGGAUCAGCACGCCGCGGUGAAUACGUUCCCGGGCCUUGUACACACCGCCCGUCACACCAUGAGAGUUUGUAACACCCGAAGCCGGUGGCGUAACCCUUUUAGGGAGCGAGCCGUCUAAGGUGGGACAAAUGAUUAGGGUGAAG